CUCAGUUAUGAUGUGGGGGUGGGGUAGGGGAACAAUUCAGGGAAUGCUGUGGAGGCUGCUAUGGGAAAAUCCUAAAGGCUGAGAUGUAUGGGGAAGGCAGAGGGAAAAGAGGGAGGGGAGGAGGCUGCCGGAGCCUGAGUGCUGCAGGCACAGUGCAGUGGUCACAGAUACAAACGAGAAGUGCUUUCUGUCAACAACUGCAGCCACCACCAACACAACAAAGAGGAGUCUUUCCUUAGAGAUGAUUCCACCUGCCUUUGACACCAGGCGUCACACAUCUGGCUCGCUGGUAUUGCAUUGAAAUGGCUUCCUGUGUGGAGUUCAGAGGGGAAAAUAAUGAAGUAGGUUUUGCCUCUUUCCUUUUACAGUAACCCCCAAAGGAGCAUACAUUUGAUAAGGGCCAAAGUCUGUUUGUAAAAAGGAACUUCUGAAGAGAGAUACAGCACCUAAGACCAAAGACCUUAAUUUUGCCUCAAAUUUUGGCUAUACUGUUUCUAUAGAGACCAAAGGGAAGCUUUGGCUCCCCUACUCAGCUAUUAAAGUUUAGUGCAUUGAAAACUGUCUUCAUGCUGUGAUACCCUUUCAGGGAGGAGAAUAGGGUCUGAACUAAUCCAUGAAAGUUGUCAUGCUAUGAACUAGUAGUCAAGCUUUUUCCUUUCAAUUGAAUCUAAAACUAUACUGUACUUCACACUUGAUUGGUCCUUCAGAUGGAAGGAUUCAAUAUCCCUGCUGGAAAUCAGCUCGUCUUCUUCACACAGUGCUGUUGAACGUGGAAAGAACUUAUUUCUGAGGCAUAAUUACCAGCUCUAACAUAUGAAAAGUCCUUUGGCAAUCCUGGAUCACUGUUUCUGCAUGGCUUCCCCAUCGCAUAGGGAAAAUCUCCCCUUUGCCACAGACUCCACCAGGCCUGCCUUGUUGUUUGCUUCAUCCUCUAUUUUUCCCCAUUUGCUCUUUGGAUAUAAUAUGGCUCCCAGAAUGAUUUUGCAAUGCUCCUCAAUGGAUUGCAGACAGGAAAAAAGAGCAUAUUCAACUUUAUGCGGACAUUAAAAAUACAGCCUGCUUUUUCUUGUUGAAUGUUAUUCAGAAUUAUUUUUAACUGACUUGAUUUUUCUUAAUUUGACCUGCUACAUUUCUGAACAAGAAUCUGCAAACCAAAUAAAAAAUGAAGAACUGAGCUGUGUCUACUAUUU
RNAcentral lists this long non-coding RNA (1190 nucleotides) under Oryctolagus cuniculus (rabbit). Its description in RNAcentral is "lncRNA (ENSOCUG00000032598.1)". Lineage: Eukaryota; Metazoa; Chordata; Mammalia; Lagomorpha; Leporidae. The record is from RNAcentral.